AAGGAUCAUUCACAAUUGCAAAGUGAAUUAUGGCACUUUACAAAAAAAAAUCCAUAUCCACCUUGUGUGCAACGUUUGUGUCCUUGACUCUUGUGAGAGAGGAAGAGGACACUUUCAUCAACCAAUUUUUUCUUAAAGCUAGAAUCGUCUGAAGAAAACAGUUUUUAAAAUUAAAAAACAACUUUCAACAACGGAUCUCUUGGCUCUC
This 208-nucleotide unclassified non-coding RNA is filed under the name uncultured fungus. Its description in RNAcentral is "partial contains 18S rRNA, ITS1, 5.8S rRNA, ITS2 and 28S rRNA". The record is from RNAcentral. Lineage: Eukaryota; Fungi.